This 494-nucleotide ribosomal RNA is filed under the name uncultured bacterium. RNAcentral's name for it is "partial 16S ribosomal RNA". It matches the Rfam family "Bacterial small subunit ribosomal RNA", at positions 28 to 507 of the family's 1533-position model. The record is from RNAcentral.
GACGAACGCUGGCGGCGUGCUUAACACAUGCAAGUCGAACGGAAAGGCCUGCUUUCCCUUGUGGAUUGCGGGUACUCGAGUGGCGAACGGGUGAGUAACACGUGAGUGAUCUGCCCCCAACUUGGGUAUAAGCCUGGGAAACUGGGUCUAAUUCCCGAUAGGACUGCAGGGUGGUGCCUGUGGUGGAAAACGAUUUUCUAGUGGUUGGGGAUGAGCUCGCGGCCUAUCAGCUUGUUGGUGGGGUAAUGGCCUACCAGGGCGGCGACGGGUAGCCGGCCUGAGAGGGUGGACGGCCACAUUGGGACUGAGAUACGGCCCAGACUCCUACGGGAGGCAGCAGUGGGGAAUAGUGCACAAUGGGCGGAAGCCUGAUGCAGCGACGCCGCGUGGGGGAUGACGGCCUUCGGGUGGUAAACUCCUUUCGACCGCGAGGAAGCCACCUGGUUGGAAGGGUGGUGACGGUAGUGGUAGAAGAAGCACCGGCUAACUACGUG